UACGGGGGGGGGUAAGCGUUGUUCGGAAUUACUGGGCGUAAAGGGCUCGUAGGCGGCCAACUAAGUCAGACGUGAAAUCCCUCAGCUUAACUGGGGAACUGCGUCUGAUACUGGAUGGCUUGGAUUCGGGAGAGGAAUGCGGAAUUCCAGGUGUAGCGGUGAAAUGCGUAGAUAUCUGGAGGAACACCGGUGGCGAAGGCGGCAUCCUGGACCGGUAUUGACGCUGAGGCGCGAAAAGCUAGGGGAGCAAACGGGG
RNAcentral lists this ribosomal RNA (256 nucleotides) under uncultured bacterium. Its description in RNAcentral is "partial 16S ribosomal RNA". It matches the Rfam family "Bacterial small subunit ribosomal RNA", at positions 524 to 777 of the family's 1533-position model. The record is from RNAcentral.